UUUAACUGCAGUUGUGGGUUUUCAUAUCUAAUAUUUGACCGUUCGUCUUAUUUUAAGUUUUUUUUGAUGAUUAGUAUUUUUAUUGAUUUUAGAUGAUAAGAAAUUAAUAAUAUUUUAUACAUGACUUAUUUUUUUUAAUUUUUUCAUAUUUUUUUAAAUAAGACGAAUGGUUAAACAUUGGAUACGGAAACUCACAACUGCACUUAAA
Oryza glumipatula is the source of this 208-nucleotide non-coding RNA. NCBI's taxonomy places the organism in Eukaryota, Viridiplantae, Streptophyta, Magnoliopsida, Poales, Poaceae. The record is from Rfam.